GACGAACGCUGGCGGCGUGCUUAACACAUGCAAGUCGAACGAAGUGGCGAACGGGUGAGUAAUACGUGGGUAACCUUCCCUCCUUUUUGGGAUAAGCCUUGGAAACGGGGUCUAAUACCGAAUAAAGGGGGAUGGGCUCGCGGCCUAUCAGCUUGUUGGUGGGGUGAUGGCCUACCAAGGCGGUGACGGGUAGCCGGCCUGAGAGGGGGACCGGCCACAUUGGGACUGGGAUACGGCCCAGACUCCUACGGGAGGCAGCAGUGGGGGAUAUUGCACAAUGGGCGAAAGCCUGAUGCAGAGACGCCGCGUAGGGGAUGAAGGCUUUCGGGUUGUAAACCUCUUUCGAAAUCGAACGGGUAGGUGAAGAAGAAGCGCCGGAUAACUGCGUGCCUGCAGCCGAGGUAUAC
Molecule: ribosomal RNA, 407 nt
Filed under: uncultured bacterium
Lineage: Bacteria
Description: partial 16S ribosomal RNA
Rfam family: Bacterial small subunit ribosomal RNA
Source: RNAcentral